RNAcentral lists this transfer RNA (73 nucleotides) under Melanocharis versteri (Fan-tailed berrypecker). Its description in RNAcentral is "tRNA-Ser". It matches the Rfam family "tRNA". Rfam says of the family: Transfer RNA (tRNA) molecules are approximately 80 nucleotides in length. Their secondary structure includes four short double-helical elements and three loops (D, anti-codon, and T loops). Lineage: Eukaryota; Metazoa; Chordata; Aves; Passeriformes; Melanocharitidae. The record is from RNAcentral.
AAGAAAGAAGCAUAAGCGGUGUAUGCGGUUGGCUUGAAACCAGCAUAUGAGGGUUCAAUUCCUUCCUUUCUUG